UAUUAUUCCUCACACAUUCCAGCAAAGUGUAGCAAAGCUCCUUUUUUUAUAUUCUCAAAGCCGUUCAAGAAACAGUUCGUCCAAAAAUGCUCAAACUUCCUAUUAAAAUAAUUGUGAAAGUAAUCGGUAAACUUUUAAAGAAAAUCGCAGUUGUAGCAUUAUUGGCAAUGUCUCCUGCCAAAAAGUUACUUGUAAAAAAAAUAAUAUUUUAAAAAGCAGUGAUCAUGGGAAGAAUUUUAUAUGAGUUCUACUUCAAAAUCACCUGAAGAAUCAUUGCUUGUUAUACCUGCACACUUCCGUAUCACCAACUAAUCAUCCAAAGUGGCACCUUUUCUUUGGGCAGGUUGUGAAAACUGCAAUAAGAGAUUAAAGAUGAAAAGCUCAUGCAUGUAAAUAAAAAAGUCCCUUAAAAAACAGCUUUGGGGGCACUCAGCAAGAGACAAUGCGCAACAGAAAAAUUAUACGAUGCACACAAUGAGUUGUAACGUCGACUCUUUUAUAUUCUCACUUCAUUGUAAUGUUUUACGCAAAAUAAUGUUUUAAGUAAAUUAUCAACUUUUGUUCAACUCCUCUUGAACUUCAUUGAGUUUGUGUGUACCGAGUAUGACCUGUGCAUCUUAAUAAAACUCUCAUCUCUUCGGUGACUCGUGGAAGUUCGUUUUGAUAAGCGUUGUUUGGGCAAGAUAGCCAAAGCGCCCUCGAUUUUUGUGUAUGCAUCACGCAUAUCCGGAGAGUUCGAAUAAUUGCAUCAAGAAUGCACGUCGCGCGUUGUAGGCGCUGUGCGUUGCAAUCUAUGCCACGGAACAAUUUUUCUUCGUCGAUACGUGGCACUCUUUCAUUUCAAACACUUUUUUGUUCAAAACGUCAGGUUUUAUCGAUGUAUAUUUGAGAUUUUUUGAAUUGGGCAAGAACAUUGGGAAAAAACCUGGUCGAAGCAAUUUUAAAUAUAACGUGAAAAAUCGGGCAAUUUUUGUGAUAUAUAGUUAUUAUAGGCAUGGCGGCCUUUUCGAAUGUGUUGCACACAUUUUUGGACCUCAACUUCGAUUUUUUUACUUUUUCUCUACAAUGGCGGCCAAUGCACGACGGAAAACGAGAAAUCCAAGGUGACCAAGUAGAAAUUGACCUUUCAUAUAAAUGAUAUGAACAGUUUUACAAAUUUCCAGAUUUCCCUUGUAAUUACAUUGAUGCUUAAAGAAUUUUCGAGGGGAAAAACGACAAAAAUGACGGUAUUUUUGACGGUUUCUGUAUCAUUGCGGGCAUCGCGCAUCCCACGACAAACAGCAAAGGAAUCUCGGAGCUAAGUGAAAUUUGCCCUUCCAUACUAAUGCUAUGUUCAUUCAUGUGCAUGUUCCUGUUCAUGUUUAUGUUUAUGUUCAUAUUAAAUUGUUUAUGUUCAUGUU
This is a long non-coding RNA of Bemisia tabaci, 1400 nucleotides long. RefSeq lists it as uncharacterized. The record is from RefSeq and is a predicted model, not a curated record. Lineage: Eukaryota; Metazoa; Arthropoda; Insecta; Hemiptera; Aleyrodidae.